CGGAGCGUAGUAUAGUGGUAGUAUACGCCCUUCGGGAGGGCGCGGCCCGAGUUCGACUCUCGGCGCUCCGA
This 71-nucleotide transfer RNA is filed under the name Candidatus Parcubacteria bacterium A4. RNAcentral's name for it is "tRNA-Pro". It matches the Rfam family "tRNA". Rfam says of the family: Transfer RNA (tRNA) molecules are approximately 80 nucleotides in length. Their secondary structure includes four short double-helical elements and three loops (D, anti-codon, and T loops). The record is from RNAcentral. Lineage: Bacteria; Candidatus Parcubacteria.